GACGAACCGUGCGAACGUUGUUCGGAAUCACUGGGCUUAAAGGGCGCGUAGGCGGGCCAUAAAGUCAGGGGUGAAAUCCUCCAGCUUAACUGGAGAACUGCCUUUGAUACUGAUGGUCUCGAGUAAGGUAGGGGCAUGCGGAACUGAUGGUGGAGCGGUGAAAUGUGUUGAUAUCAUCAGGAACCCCGGUGGCGAAGGCGGCAUGCUGGACCUUCACUGACGCUGAGGCGCGAAAGCUAGGGGAGCGAACGGG
RNAcentral lists this ribosomal RNA (253 nucleotides) under uncultured bacterium. RNAcentral's name for it is "partial 16S ribosomal RNA". It matches the Rfam family "Bacterial small subunit ribosomal RNA", at positions 524 to 776 of the family's 1533-position model. The record is from RNAcentral.